Adelges cooleyi (spruce gall adelgid) is the source of this 317-nucleotide long non-coding RNA. RefSeq lists it as uncharacterized. Lineage: Eukaryota; Metazoa; Arthropoda; Insecta; Hemiptera; Adelgidae. The transcript has 4 exons. The record is from RefSeq and is a predicted model, not a curated record.
CUCCGGUUAGGCAGUCUGUUAGCCGCGUAAAUUUCGAAAUUAUGUCUACUUUAUAAUUUGGUCGACAACGAGCAAACUUUGAACCAUCAGUUAUCAGCGGUCCUGUUAAAAGUAAACGGAACCUCAUUUACAGCCGUCAAUUCCUGGGGGUCCUGCUGAAAUACAACAUUUAUUAUUAUUGGAUUAAGACAGUUGUGGUUAUAGAAACUUGAAUAAUGGCAACCGAUUCUUACAAUUUUCACUGACUGGCAACAUAUCUUCUGUUUUAAAUUUAAUAAUCGUUCGUGCGACCAAUUUUUGUGACAUUUGCUGAGUGG